AGGGGUAUAGCUCAGUUGGUAGAGCAGCGGUCUCCAAAACCGCGUGCCGUGAGUUCAAGUCUUACUACCCCUGCCA
RNAcentral lists this transfer RNA (76 nucleotides) under Bacillota bacterium. Its description in RNAcentral is "Firmicutes bacterium (gut metagenome) tRNA-Trp". It matches the Rfam family "tRNA". Rfam says of the family: Transfer RNA (tRNA) molecules are approximately 80 nucleotides in length. Their secondary structure includes four short double-helical elements and three loops (D, anti-codon, and T loops). Further hydrogen bonds mediate the characteristic L-shaped molecular structure. tRNAs have two regions of fundamental functional importance: the anti-codon, which is responsible for specific mRNA codon recognition, and the 3' end, to which the tRNAs corresponding amino acid is attached (by aminoacyl-tRNA synthetases). tRNAs cope with the degeneracy of the genetic code in two manners: having more than one tRNA (with a specific anti-codon) for a particular amino acid; and 'wobble' base-pairing, i.e. permitting non-standard base-pairing at the 3rd anti-codon position. Lineage: Bacteria; Bacillati; Bacillota. The record is from RNAcentral. RNAcentral also lists the same sequence under 7 other names.